UCCUAGUGCCAGAAAAGAGAGAUUCUAACUCCCACCCCUAACUCCCAAAGCUAGGAUUCUAAGUUAAACUAUUUUCUG
This 78-nucleotide transfer RNA is filed under the name Hypostomus plecostomus (suckermouth catfish). RNAcentral's name for it is "partial transfer RNA-Pro". The record is from RNAcentral. Lineage: Eukaryota; Metazoa; Chordata; Actinopteri; Siluriformes; Loricariidae.